This 340-nucleotide long non-coding RNA is filed under the name Fukomys damarensis (Damara mole-rat). RNAcentral's name for it is "lncRNA (ENSFDAG00000029668.1)". The record is from RNAcentral. Lineage: Eukaryota; Metazoa; Chordata; Mammalia; Rodentia; Bathyergidae.
AUGAAAUUGGAGAUGAUGAAAAACCAGAGUGUUCAGUCCUGACAUCAGCACUGAAAGGGGUCCCCGAGGGACGCGUGCAGAAGCAACACGCAGUGGCAGCCCAGAAGGAGCGGUGACUCACGGUGGCUCAGGCGCCUGCCCCUAUGAAAGUAUUGGACCAGCAGCCCUCUGGGUGAUAAGCGUGCAGGCGGCCCUGACUCUCCGGGUCUGCGGGGCAGACCGGGAAAUCCCGAAGAGCUUGUGGCUCCAUGCCUUCUAGGGCUGGCGCCUGGUGACCGGCACGGACCAGCGGGUCAUUUGUCUGCUGCAGACCAUCAAAUCCCAAGGAUCCCUCCGGGCU